CACCCCCCUUCUCGUAGGGUUUCUCAAGCAGACGGCAUCGCACCGCCGCCGGCCACCCUCCUCUGCCCCCUCCCACCGCCUUCUGGACAUACCGCGCAUCCGCUCACUAGUCCCGGCUCUCCUUUACCGCGAAGCCGAAAGCCAUCGCCGCACCCCAACCACGAAGCCGGCGCCCGAUCCACUCGCUUCGACCUUGACAGCGCCGCGGGACACCGUCCAUCGACCCCGUCGCCCGUACCUUGACUGAGUCACCGGAAGCAGCCGCUCGACCCCUACCCCGUCGCCCCUACAACAAUGCCGUACGCCCUCCCUAUCGACCCUGACCCCGCUGCUUCACCCUAUCUCGACCUCGCAUCUGGACGUCGUCGCUCUACCUCGUGUUCUGUCUUCCAGUAGCGGCUUUGUCAAGAUGGUUGGUUGCUGAGAUGGUCUGUUGUGGGAAGGCGGUCGACGCCGGUGGCCAAGAAGGAAACAUCGAGUAGCUCCAAGGUCGGGCUACAGUUCCACGUUGGCAGGAUCGCCAGAUUCCUCAAGGCCGGCAAGUACGCCGAGCCGCUUAGGCGCUGGUGCCCCCAUCUACCUCGCCGCCGUUCCCCAAGUACCUCGCCGCUGAUGCCCUGGAGCUGGCUGGCAACGCUGCCAGUGCCAGGGACAACAAGAAGACCCAUAUCAUGCAUCGCCACAUCCAGCUCGCCGUGCGCAAUGGCGAGGAGCUAUAUAUCUCAUGUUGGUUGUAGGGAACACAAGACAGACAGGAGCUUUGGAGCAAGUCCGUCCAUGUCGGACCCUUUUCAUUUAUUUAUUUCACGAAUUCCUUUUCAUUUAUUCAUGAGCGUACUUAUGCUACUAUUCUUGUUUGAAAUUCCUUUUAUGUUUGCAUGACCGGAGCCAUGAGGAUUGCUACUCCGUAAGCAGCAGCGUUCUCCUAGAUGACAACUUGCCCGAAUGAGCUGAUGAUGGUUUCUUGGAAAUAUGUAGACCCAUAUGAUUUAUUAUUGGGACAGAUAGUGUAGGCAUAUUAGCCUAUGGCAUUGUUACUGCAGAUUCCAGUGUUCACAUUUUCCACCUUGAUUUCCUUUUCAUAUGGAUUUAGUAAGACCAUCACAUGGGUUGUUUGCAUUUGCCACCUUGAUUUCCUUCUUGUAUGGUUUUAAUAAGACCAUAACAUGGGUUAUUGGUCAGGAGGGGGCCAGCAUCCAGCAAGAUGUCGUGCUGCAAAAUGAAUGUGGGGUUUGUCUAGCUAAUCAGGUCGGUGUGGUGCAGUACCCUCUGCUGUUCAUAUCUUCUUUUUUUGUUGCAAUUCUGGUGUCCUGAUUCAGUUGCUUAGUUAUGAUAGAUUUCCAUUCACUUGGUCUAUAGAUAUCCAGAAACCUGUGAUGAAACAUGUUGCUUGAAUUGUCAACUCCAUCGCUGGCUAUAUAUUAGACUUA
Long non-coding RNA from Triticum dicoccoides, 1430 nucleotides. RefSeq lists it as uncharacterized. NCBI's taxonomy places the organism in Eukaryota, Viridiplantae, Streptophyta, Magnoliopsida, Poales, Poaceae. The transcript is spliced from 3 exons. The record is from RefSeq and is a predicted model, not a curated record.